Molecule: transfer RNA, 73 nt
Filed under: Caudoviricetes sp.
Lineage: Duplodnaviria; Heunggongvirae; Uroviricota; Caudoviricetes
Description: tRNA-OTHER
Rfam family: tRNA
About the family: Transfer RNA (tRNA) molecules are approximately 80 nucleotides in length. Their secondary structure includes four short double-helical elements and three loops (D, anti-codon, and T loops).
Source: RNAcentral
AGGCCUGUGGUGUAACGGUAAGCAUAGGAGGCUCUAACCCUCUUGAUACUCGUUCGAGUCGAAGUCGGGCCUG